GACGAACCGUGCGAACGUUGUUCGGAAUCAUUGGGCUUAAAGGGCGCGUAGGCGGGCUUCCGAGUCCGGUGUGAAAUCCUCCGGCUCAACUGGGGAACUGCCCCGGAUACUGGAGGUCUCGAGGGGGGUAGGGGCAUGCGGAACUGCGGGUGGAGCGGUGAAAUGCGUUGAUAUCCGGAGGAACUCCGGUGGCGAAGGCGGCGUGCUGGACCCUUUCUGACGCUGAGGCGCGAAAGCCAGGGGAGCAAACGGG
Molecule: ribosomal RNA, 253 nt
Filed under: uncultured bacterium
Lineage: Bacteria
Description: partial 16S ribosomal RNA
Rfam family: Bacterial small subunit ribosomal RNA
Source: RNAcentral